GAUGAACGCCGGCGGCGUGCCUAAUACAUGCAAGUCGAGCGAACGGACGAGAAGCUUGCUUCUCUGAUGUUAGCGGCGGACGGGUGAGCAACACGUGGAUAACCUACCUAUAAGACUGGGAUAACUUCGGGAAACCGGAGCUAAUACCGGAUAAUAUUUUGAACCGCAUGGUUCAAAAGUGAAAGACGGUCUUGCUGUCACUUAUAGAUGGAUCCGCGCUGCAUUAGCUAGUUGGUAAGGUAACGGCUUACCAAGGCAACGAUGCAUAGCCGACCUGAGAGGGUGAUCGGCCACACUGGAACUGAGACACGGUCCAGACUCCUACGGGAGGCAGCAGUAGGGAAUCUUCCGCAAUGGGCGAAAGCCUGACGGAGCAACGCCGCGUGAGUGAUGAAGGUCUUCGGAUCGUAAAACUCUGUUAUUAGGGAAGAACAUAUGUGUAAGUAACUGUGCACAUCUUGACGGUACCUAAUCAGAAAGCCACGGCUAACUACGUGCCAGCAGCCGCGGUAAUACGUAGGUGGCAAGCGUUAUCCGGAAUUAUUGGGCGUAAAGCGCGCGUAGGCGGUUUUUUAAGUCUGAUGUGAAAGCCCACGGCUCAACCGUGGAGGGUCAUUGGAAACUGGAAAACUUGAGUGCAGAAGAGGAAAGUGGAAUUCCAUGUGUAGCGGUGAAAUGCGCAGAGAUAUGGAGGAACACCAGUGGCGAAGGCGACUUUCUGGUCUGUAACUGACGCUGAUGUGCGAAAGCGUGGGGAUCAAACAGGAUUAGAUACCCUGGUAGUCCACGCCGUAAACGAUGAGUGCUAAGUGUUAGGGGGUUUCCGCCCCUUAGUGCUGCAGCUAACGCAUUAAGCACUCCGCCUGGGGAGUACGACCGCAAGGUUGAAACUCAAAGGAAUUGACGGGGACCCGCACAAGCGGUGGAGCAUGUGGUUUAAUUCGAAGCAACGCGAAGAACCUUACCAAAUCUUGACAUCCUUUGACAACUCUAGAGAUAGAGCUUUCCCCUUCGGGGGACAAAGUGACAGGUGGUGCAUGGUUGUCGUCAGCUCGUGUCGUGAGAUGUUGGGUUAAGUCCCGCAACGAGCGCAACCCUUAAGCUUAGUUGCCAUCAUUAAGUUGGGCACUCUAAGUUGACUGCCGGUGACAAACCGGAGGAAGGUGGGGAUGACGUCAAAUCAUCAUGCCCCUUAUGAUUUGGGCUACACACGUGCUACAAUGGACAAUACAAAGGGCAGCGAAACCGCGAGGUCAAGCAAAUCCCAUAAAGUUGUUCUCAGUUCGGAUUGUAGUCUGCAACUCGACUACAUGAAGCUGGAAUCGCUAGUAAUCGUAGAUCAGCAUGCUACGGUGAAUACGUUCCCGGGUCU
Molecule: ribosomal RNA, 1372 nt
Filed under: uncultured bacterium
Lineage: Bacteria
Description: bacterial SSU rRNA
Rfam family: Bacterial small subunit ribosomal RNA
Source: RNAcentral